Long non-coding RNA from Sphaeramia orbicularis (orbiculate cardinalfish), 107 nucleotides. RefSeq lists it as uncharacterized. The transcript has 3 exons. The record is from RefSeq and is a predicted model, not a curated record. NCBI's taxonomy places the organism in Eukaryota, Metazoa, Chordata, Actinopteri, Kurtiformes, Apogonidae.
GAAAAAUUUGGAUAGAACGAAGGAUUCAUCAUGAAUGAUAAACACCGCUUUUAUUAACGUUCUGCUGCUGUUAGCUGAGGAUUUUGCACAUUUAUAGUAUACACAAU